This 62-nucleotide transfer RNA is filed under the name Mesembrius sp. Its description in RNAcentral is "tRNA-Arg". Lineage: Eukaryota; Metazoa; Arthropoda; Insecta; Diptera; Syrphidae. The record is from RNAcentral.
GAAUAUGAAGCGAUUUAUUGCAAUUAGUUUCGACCUAAUCUUAGGUAUACUACCCUUAUUCU